AAGGAUAAACGAAACUCCCCCUGUAUCACUUAUAUAUAUAAAACUUAAACUCUGGGUGAAGAUGCCCAGAUAAAUUUGAAAGACAAGAAGACCCUAUAGAGUUUUAGCAUAAUACUUCUGAUUAAGUUCUUUGCUUUUGUUGGGGCGACAAAGGAUUACUAAAAACAUCCUGAAAACCGAAGACAAAUAUUUCCUUGCUAUGACCCUAAAAAGACCGACAGAUUAAACUACCUUAGGGAUAACAGGCUAAUCUCCUUCCAGAGUUCAAAUCGAAAAGGAAGUUUGGCACCUCGAUGUUGGCUUAGAGAACCCCUUUACUGCAACAGGU
Molecule: ribosomal RNA, 328 nt
Filed under: Macellicephala sp. 687 PB
Lineage: Eukaryota; Metazoa; Annelida; Polychaeta; Phyllodocida; Polynoidae
Description: partial 16S ribosomal RNA
Rfam family: Bacterial large subunit ribosomal RNA
Source: RNAcentral